Molecule: ribosomal RNA, 433 nt
Filed under: uncultured bacterium
Lineage: Bacteria
Description: partial 16S ribosomal RNA
Rfam family: Bacterial small subunit ribosomal RNA
Source: RNAcentral
AACGAACGCUGGCGGCAUGCCUAACACAUGCAAGUCGAACGAGACCUUCGGGUCUAGUGGCGCACGGGUGCGUAACGCGUGGGAACCUGCCCUUAGGUUCGGAAUAACUCCCCGAAAGGGGUGCUAAUACCGGAUAAUGUCUUCGGACCAAAGAUUUAUCGCCUUUGGAUGGGCCCGCGUUGGAUUAGCUAGUUGGUAGGGUAAAAGCCUACCAAGGCGACGAUCCAUAGCUGGUCUGGGAGGAUGAUCAGCCACACUGGGACUGAGAAACGGCCCAGACUCCUGCGGGAGGGAGGAAUUGGGGAUAUUGGAAAAUGGGGGGAAGGCUGAUCCAACAAUGGCGCGUGAGUGAUUAAGGCCUUAGGGUUGUAAAGCUCUUUUACCCGGGAUGAUAAUGACAGUACCGGGAGAAUAAGCUCCGGCUAACUCCGUG